RNAcentral lists this ribosomal RNA (460 nucleotides) under uncultured bacterium. Its description in RNAcentral is "partial 16S ribosomal RNA". It matches the Rfam family "Bacterial small subunit ribosomal RNA", at positions 338 to 795 of the family's 1533-position model. The record is from RNAcentral.
CCUACGGGUGGCAGCAGUGAGGAAUAUUGGUCGAUGGCCGGAAGGCUGAACCAGCCAUGCCGCGUGAAGGUCAGUGCCCUAUGGGCGUUAAACUUCUUUUGUGCGGGAGCAAUAAUGGUCACGUGUGGCCAGACGAGGGUUCCGUACGAAUAAGCAUCGGCUAACUCCGUGCCAGCAGCCGCGGUAAUACGGGGGAUGCAAGCGUUAGCCGGAUUUAGUGGGUUUAAAGGGUGCGUAGGCUGUUAGGUAAGUCAGCGGUGAAAUGCCCCCGCUCAACGGGGUGAAGGGCCAGUGAUACUGCCUGGCUGGAAUGAGGAUGCCGUGGGAGGAAUGUGUGGUGUAGCGGUGAAAUGCAUAGAUAUCACACAGAACACCGAUUGCGAAGGCAUCUCCCGAAUCCGCGAUUGACGCUGAUGCACGAAAGCGUGGGUAUCAAACAGGAUUAGAUACCCCUGUAGUC